RNAcentral lists this transfer RNA (73 nucleotides) under Ailuropoda melanoleuca (giant panda). It matches the Rfam family "tRNA". Rfam says of the family: Transfer RNA (tRNA) molecules are approximately 80 nucleotides in length. Their secondary structure includes four short double-helical elements and three loops (D, anti-codon, and T loops). Further hydrogen bonds mediate the characteristic L-shaped molecular structure. tRNAs have two regions of fundamental functional importance: the anti-codon, which is responsible for specific mRNA codon recognition, and the 3' end, to which the tRNAs corresponding amino acid is attached (by aminoacyl-tRNA synthetases). tRNAs cope with the degeneracy of the genetic code in two manners: having more than one tRNA (with a specific anti-codon) for a particular amino acid; and 'wobble' base-pairing, i.e. permitting non-standard base-pairing at the 3rd anti-codon position. The record is from Rfam by way of RNAcentral. Lineage: Eukaryota; Metazoa; Chordata; Mammalia; Carnivora; Ursidae.
GUCUGGCUGGCUCAGUAGGUAGAGCAUGGGACCCUCGAUCUUAGGGUUGUGAGAUUGAGCCCCAUGCCAGGCU